This 1821-nucleotide ribosomal RNA is filed under the name seawater metagenome. Its description in RNAcentral is "bacterial LSU rRNA". It matches the Rfam family "Bacterial large subunit ribosomal RNA", at positions 1119 to 2925 of the family's 2925-position model. The record is from RNAcentral.
UCCUUUAAAGAAAGCGUAAUAGCUCACUAGUCGAAUCGGCCUGCGCGGAAGAUAUAACGGGGCUCAAACUAUACACCGAAGCUACGGACGCAUGCUUGCAUGCGUGGUAGAGGAGCGUUCUGUAGGCCGUUGAAGGGAAAGCUGAGAGGCAUCCUGGAGGUAUCAGAAGUGCGAAUGCUGACAUGAGUAACGAUAAGGGGAGUGAAAAGCUCCCCCGCCGGAAGACCAAGGUUUCCUAUCCAAUGCUAAUCAGGGUAGGGUGAGUCGGCCCCUAAGGCGAGGCUGAAGAGCGUAGUCGAUGGGAAGCAGGUUAAUAUUCCUGCACCACUCAAUAUUGCGAAGGAGGGACGGAGAAGGCUAGUCCAGCGCGGCGUUGGUUGUCCGCGUUUAAGCGUGUAGGCUUAAAUCUUAGGUAAAUCCGGGAUUUUUUAAGGCUGAGGCGUGAUGACGAGGUCCAUUAGGACUGAAGUGGUUGAUGCCAUGCUUCCAGGAAAAGCUUCUAAGCAUCAGAUAUUGAGUGACCGUACCCCAAACCGACACAGGUGGUCAGGUAGAGAAUACCAAGGCGCUUGAGAGAACUCGGGUGAAGGAACUAGGCAAAAUGGUACCGUAACUUCGGGAGAAGGUACGCCGCUGAUGGUGAUGGGACUUGCUCCCUAAGCUGUUGGCGGCCGAAGAUACCAGGUGGCUGCGACUGUUUAUUAAAAACACAGCACUGUGCAAACACGAAAGUGGACGUAUACGGUGUGACGCCUGCCCGGUGCCGGAAGGUUAAUUGAUGGGGUUAGCUUCGGCGAAGCUCUUGAUCGAAGCCCCGGUAAACGGCGGCCGUAACUAUAACGGUCCUAAGGUAGCGAAAUUCCUUGUCGGGUAAGUUCCGACCUGCACGAAUGGCGUAACGACGGCCACACUGUCUCCACCCGAGACUCAGUGAAAUUGAAAUCGCUGUUAAGAUGCAGUGUAUCCGCGGCUAGACGGAAAGACCCCGUGAACCUUUACUAUAGCUUCACAGUGAACUUUGAACCUAUUUGUGUAGGAUAGGUGGGAGGCUUUGAAACUGGGACGCUAGUCUCAGUGGAGCCAAACUUGAAAUACCACCCUGGUAUGUUUGAGGUUCUAACUCAGGUCCGUAAUCCGGAUCGAGGACACUGUGUGGUGGGUAGUUUGACUGGGGCGGUCUCCUCCCAAAGAGUAACGGAGGAGCACGAAGGUAUGCUAAUCAUGGUCGGAAAUCAUGAGGUUAGUGCAAUGGCAUAAGCAUGCUUAACUGCGAGACAGACACGUCGAGCAGAUACGAAAGUAGGUCAUAGUGAUCCGGUGGUUCUGAAUGGAAGGGCCAUCGCUCAACGGAUAAAAGGUACUCCGGGGAUAACAGGCUGAUACCGCCCAAGAGUUCAUAUCGACGGCGGUGUUUGGCACCUCGAUGUCGGCUCAUCACAUCCUGGGGCUGGAGCAGGUCCCAAGGGUAUGGCUGUUCGCCAUUUAAAGUGGUACGCGAGCUGGGUUUAGAACGUCGUGAGACAGUUCGGUCCCUAUCUGCCGUGGACGUUUGAGAUUUGAGAAGAGUUGCUCCUAGUACGAGAGGACCGGAGUGAACGAACCUCUGGUGUUCCGGUUGUCACGCCAGUGGCAUUGCCGGGUAGCUACGUUCGGACAGGAUAACCGCUGAAAGCAUCUAAGCGGGAAGCCCCCUUCAAGAUGAGAUCUCACAGGACUUUAAGUCCCUAAAGAGCCGUUCAAGACUAGGACGUUGAUAGGUUGGGUGUGUAAGCACGGUAACGUGUUGAGCUAACCAAUACUAAUUGCUCGUGAGGCUUGACC